RNAcentral lists this ribosomal RNA (255 nucleotides) under uncultured bacterium. Its description in RNAcentral is "partial 16S ribosomal RNA". It matches the Rfam family "Bacterial small subunit ribosomal RNA", at positions 16 to 252 of the family's 1533-position model. The record is from RNAcentral.
AUCCUGGCUCAGGACGAACGCUGGCGGCGCGCCUAACACAUGCAAGUCGAACGAAGUUUCAUAACGGAAGUUUUCGGAUGGAAGAUAUGAAACUUAGUGGCGGACGGGUGAGUAACACGUGAGCAACCUGCCUUUUAGAGGGGGAUAACGUUUGGAAACGAACGCUAAUACCGCAUAACGUAGUCGAUCGGCAUCGAUUGACUACCAAAGGAGCAAUCCGCUGAAAGAUGGGCUCGCGUCCGAUUAGAUAGUUGG